CCUACGGGUGGCAGCAGUCGAGAAUCAUUCACAAUGGGGGCAACCCUGACGGAGCGACGCCGCGUGGGGGAAUGAAGGUCUCCGGAUUGUAAACUCCUGUCAUGUGGGAGCAAAUUAUAAAGAUAGUACCACAAGAGGAAGAGACGGCUAACUCUGUGCCAGCAGCCGAGGUAAUACAGAGGUCUCAAGCGUUGUCCGGAUUCACUGGGCGUAAAGCGUGCGUAGGCGGUUUAGUAAGUCAGAUGUGAAAGGGGAGGGCUCAACCCGCGGACGGCAAAUGAUACUGCGUGACUUGAGUAAUGGAGAGGAAACCGGAAUUCUCGGUGUAGCGGUGAAAUGCGUAGAUA
Molecule: ribosomal RNA, 347 nt
Filed under: uncultured bacterium
Lineage: Bacteria
Description: partial 16S ribosomal RNA
Rfam family: Bacterial small subunit ribosomal RNA
Source: RNAcentral